This is a long non-coding RNA of Ictalurus punctatus (channel catfish), 9321 nucleotides long. NCBI's taxonomy places the organism in Eukaryota, Metazoa, Chordata, Actinopteri, Siluriformes, Ictaluridae. The record is from Ensembl.
CUGAAACUGUGUAGAAGUUGGGUGAUGCAACAGGACAACGACCCAAAACACCGGAGCAAGUCCACAACAGAAUGGCUUCAGAAAUGGAAUGACGUGGAGAGCCAUACACACGAGACUUCCAAAGAAUAUGACGGAGCUAAAGCAGUUCUGCCAGGAAGAAUGGGCUAAAAUUCCUCCUGAACAAUGUGCAGGUCUGAUCCACAGCUACAGGAAGCGCUUGGUUGAGGUUAUUGCUGCCGGGGGUGGGGGUGAACCAGUUAUUAAUUCUAAGGGUUCACUUACUUUUUCCACUGCCAUAUUGAAUGUUGAAUGAGCGUGUUCAAUAAAGACAUGAGGGAUCAGUUUUUUUUGUAUGUUAUUAUUUUAGACACAUUAUAUUUGUCAAUACCCUUGACUUAGAUGAAGAUCAGAUCAUAUUUUAUGACAAAUUUAUGCAGAAAACCAUGAAAUUCAAAAAGGUUCACAUACCUUUUCUUGUCACUGUAUAUGUUUGUGUGUGUGUAUAUAUAUGUGUGUGUGUGUGUGUGUAUAUAUAUAUAUAUAUAUAUAUAUAUAUAUAUAUAUAUAUAUAUAUAUAUAUAUGAAAACCAUGCAUGGUAUGGAAAAGUAAGGGUGAGGCUAAAUUCUUUGUAGGCCAGACUAGAUGCCUGCAGCUAAUAGAUUAGGUCACAUGAUUACACAGAGUGAAACUCUCCAUAAAUUUGGGUUGAUGUUUUUUUACGGCCAGCUUCUGUGACACAUGGGUUACAUAAUGUCAUCAGCAGUGAUGGAGACUGUACAUGUGAAAUACAGAGUCUGGUGUAAUCAAUGUGAAUAAACUGGAUUAUUUUCUCUUUAUUUUCUUGGAGGAGAAACUUAAAGUAGAUGGACUAAGUAGACAUUGUCCACAAAUGACACAAAAGGGCAAAAUGAUGGAACCAUAAGUUUAGUGUUACUGCCUAUCUGUCUGUGAGGUGUGUGAAGUGUGUGUGAGGUGAUAGUUUGCUUCACAUCAUUCUUAUUGCACCAUUUGAUGAUACCUUGUGAUUAUAAUGCUUUGCUCAACCUUAAUAAUUUCAUUCUCAAGCUUAUUAUAUUAGAUGUUAGUCCUCCCAUCUCUCACUGCCUAUUACUAUAUUUGUAUCCGUUGAAAUUGGUAGCAGUUUUAACAGUCAGUGCCUGUUUCCUUCCUGAAGUCUUGUUCCUCUGCUGAAAAGCCGCUAUCUUAACACUCGUCCUUUGUACUUGAGCUUGUCUCUAAACAUUUCGUCCACAUCUCACACACACGUAGCGGAAACUUUAUCUCUAGACAUAACAUUUCAGAAGCCUUUUAAGAGGAACAGGACCAUGCCGCGCCGUGGUCACACCGUGUCAUUUGAUUGGUUCCUGCGUGCUUUGCGGCUGCUCUGAUGUAAUUGAGUGCUUACGGUGAGCUCAUUCCUGACUCUUAAGGCAAAUAAAAUGCUGCGGGUCAUGGAGAGGAGUCCGUAUCAUGUUCCUGACGUCACUUUGGUUGCCAUGGGUGUGUGUUUUGCAUACACAGAGCAUGCUGCUGCUUCAGUAUGAAGUCACUCAUCUCAAGUAUGCAGCUUGGCGGGAACACUACUGUUUGGGUGUCUGGAACAGUACAUUCCUGCCUGUGCUAUUCUCCCAGAGUGCUGAAGGCCAGGAGCAUCUGCACACACUUUGAGGAGAAAGUACUUCUUUGUGAUUUAAUUGUCUAUUCAAGACUGAUCCUAGCUGUUCUAACUUCAGUGGACAGGUGAAGUGCUUGUUUGUGUAGAAAAAAAUGUUAUUAUGUCUGAUAGAAAUGUUUGGACUUUGUUUAGCAGACUUGAUUGAUGCAGUUCAUCAGAACUAAAUGAACAUCUGAAACCCUAAAACGGGGCUUAGAGCCAGAGCAAUCAGUUGUGCUCUUCUGUAACAAUAAAAGGUUUUAUGGAGUGACCUGUAUCUCACUGUGUGUUACGAUGGUGGUCAAGACAACUGUGUCAGAGCUGAAAUUUUGCAUUUGCAUCUGGCCUACAGCCUGUUAUAUGUUCCUUAAAUCAAAAUCUUUUAUCUCCUCGAUUUUCUCUCCCAAAGCUCCCAAAAGUAUCCUUCCCAGACCUUGUGUGGGUGAUCAAAGAAAAAUGUAAUUAGGGCCCAAAUAUAGCCUGUAACCUGGCACAGGAUUGAUGUGAAUUUGUUCCUCCUUUACAGAUAUUUUCUUAUCCAUGGUAAGAAAGUUCAGAUUGUGUGGUUUCCAGAUUUGCAAAUUCCCUCAUUUUAGGUAAAUCGUGGCCAUAUUGUACCAGUUCGUGCCCACAAUUUCAUAAAUCCAUCAUCCUUUUACUGUAUGGUGAUGACAGCUAUAGCUGCUGUUAUUGAUGGUGACAAUUUGAUUGAGUUUUAUUUUGAGUUAUAGAGACAUUUCAAAAGCCUUGUAUUGUAUGGAAUCUUUUUAAGUGAGAGGGACCUACAUCGCAUAUUCAGAGUCAGGGGGCUUUACCGGCAACAGGAUAGUAUCUUGGGGGCUGGGCUUGAGCGUCGGCUCUGGUGAGCCCGGGAAUUAAAGGGGUCACGCAUAGAGAGAACGAUCCUUACUCCAUGUUCUUUUCCAGGGCCUUGCAGCAGAUCAACAAUGAAGUCAACACCAGCCCCCAAGUCACCAUAUCGUCACUGGUAAAGCCCCCUGUCUGUCAGUAUGCGAUGUUGGCACGAAUUGGUAAAACAUGGCCACGAUUUACCUAAAACGAGGGAACGAAAUGAUACACCGUGUUCAUGCAUUAAUAAAUUGUGGGAACAAAUUCUUAAUUCGUGUCCAUGAUGUAUUGUUUUUUUACCUGUGUGUCAUGUGCGGAGCUCUGUAGGCAUGUGGAUGAAUGUAGAGAACACAGACACUCUCAUUUUCCAGGUUUGCUGCUCUAAGGUGUGUAUUGUUUGACGAGCAUGAUUGAACACUGAGACACAUUCACUAUCUUGCCAGACCUUAAUCCCAAAGAAAACUUGUGGGAUUAAUUGUAAUAUAGCAAGUGAAACACCAACAUAGACACCAUGAAUUCUAGUGAACUGCUGAUCCAUUCAGUGAGAGAGUGGGCUUUGACUGGAAGUAUUAUGGGUAAGAAAUGACACAAAGUUUCAGUCUGACUGCAGUGUCAACAUAUUAUUGCUCCUAUAAUGACAGUCCAUGUUUGGGUGUCUACAAGCACAAAAAGAAAAAAAAAAAUCAGAAUUUGUCACCUAUCCAUCAGGUCUCCUGGGUAAUGCUUGUCCAGUAGAUUAAGAUUAGCUUCAGUAAUUACGCACUGUCCCUGCCACAAGCUUCAAGUGAAAAGUAUAUCUAAUAGUAGGGUGACCAGACAUUCUAUUUCUUUAUGAAACUGAAAUUAUUGGUGAGGCUGUGGUUUACACAAUUUUAUUGAACUUGUUACUAUGGUAGACUACCUGACAGGAUUAGCACUGUUAUUAUGGUGUAGGGAAAUGGAACGUGGUGUUAGGAAAGAAAUGACAUUAAUGUUUUGUCAGUAGAGCUUAGUUAACGCCAUCCAUUAACCCAUCGUCAGUGCAAAAUCAUUUGUAUACACACCUGACUCUCCAAUGGACUUGUUCGCACUGUCCCUGACUUCAGCUCGAAGUAACUGAUCCACCUAGAUGUGUUUAGUUUCUAUAGCACACCCAAACACAACGUCUUUCUACAGCAUUUUCACCAAGCAAAAACUCCAAGGGAAUGUUUUACACUGUAACUGUCUCCUGUUUAGUCUGCUGAGAAGAAAUCAAAUCUUGUUUACAUUCAGAUGAAAAAACGUCUGGGUCAAGAGCAGCCUCCCAACCAGCAGUUACCGAGUUGCACUGUACAACAAGCUGAAUAAGCUUGUAAAUGUUUGUACAAAGACAUACCUAGCUGAGCUGCUUUACAUGUGGUCUUCCCUGGGCCUCACACACAUCAAGAAGAAUGAAUCUGCCUCGGUGGACUGGGGAACGCUGUUUUGUUUAAACACACUUCUGGCUUUUACCAUUCCAUUGCACAGCCAUAAAAAGAGCGCGAGUCUAAAGCCUAAAGCACAAGUAUACAGGCAGUGUACAGUUGAAAAACUGUCCAUUUGUCAACUCUUUUUGCAGCGUAUCCUUACAAAAGUCAUAAUAAGGGCUAGCGUGUAUAAUCUAAUGCUAAUAUUGUCUAAAGGAAGUAAAGAUAGACUCAUGAGAUCACACAGGAUGCCACCUAAAGUGAGAGCACUGCAGGCAGACAUGCUCUUGCAACCCAGCUAAGUUUAGCUCCCUGACCUGACAUGUAAGCGUGAUGGGAGAGCAAUAUGACAUCCUUUUUAAGGGCUUGCUGUGACUGAACACCGGAGGUGCUAUUUCAGACACUAAUCUCAUGGGUACUGUGGUUGUGUGUGUAAAUAUGUUAUUGGUCAUCUGAGCAAAAGGACCUCCAGGAGAAAAUGUAAAUGACUUACAGGAAAACAAGCAAGAAAAGGACAUCUAGAUUGGGCUGCUUAAUUUACAGUGGAUAGUUUGAACGUGACGGAAUAAAAUGUUAAGUCAAUAUUGCUUCCAGCUGUAAAUGACAUUAAUGCUCUUAAUGUGAAAGUUUUAGGAGCUCAAGUGGAGUCAAGGGGACACACACACACACACACACACACACACACACACACACACACACACACACACACACACAACCAUUAACCACUUCAAGGUGCUGAGAAACAGGAAUUGAGGCAUAUCAGAAAAUUUCUGCACAGAAACGGCCAGGAGAGGUUUUUUUAUUAUUAUUUUUUUUAAUGUACUGCCAACAGUGAUGAUCUAUGUGCCUUGAUUGAGAUCUAAAAGCACAAGAGAGUGGGAAUGUGGGAAAGGUUUGUGUGAACAGGCUGUCCCAGCUGUAGACAUAAUGCCAGAGCUGACCUGGAACUGCUGGCGGGGAAUGCGGUGCACGGAUGAAGGGUAAUAAGUUACCCAGAAUUCAGUAGUCCAGAGGGGAGCAUGAAAGGGUCAUCGGCUUCAAGAAGCCUUAUACCCAAUAGAGACCAGUAAAUUCACAUGUACACUUUGUUGUUCUAUAAUGGGUGUAAAUUAUACCCAAUGAUAUGACAACAGCGAGUUCUACAGUCUGCUUCAGUCCAGCCGUGGUGUCUGACCACCUCAAAUUAAAAGCUUUUGUAAGGAAUUGCUCCAUGUGGAGCUUCACUAAGUGCCCUGAUAUUUCACAAAACCACAGUGUCAACACCUUAUUGCUCCUAUAAUGGCAAUCUGUGUUUGGGUGUCUGCAGGCACAAAAAAGAUUUUUGAUACCACAUAUCCAUCGUGUGUCCAAGCUAUUAUUAGUACUGGUUAUUAUGUUCUGUCUAUGCUGUAAGCUCUGAGUGAGAAAUCUGUGUAAUAUUAGGAUGACAAGAUGUUCUGUAUUUUUUGGACAUGUUCUCUUUAUGAGACAUAUGAGAGGUCCAGCUGGGGAUUACGUUUUACACAGAUGACAGGUCAAAGAUAUAUUUUUGUUGGUUAAAAGCAUGACUGGUAUAAUGAUAACAACAACAACAACAAUAAUAAUAAUAAUAAUAAUAAUAAUAAAGGAACAAAAGAUUGUGGACACCUUCCAGAUUUAGUCCCCCAGUGCUGUUAUAAUAACCCCCACUCUUUUGGGAAGGCUUUAUGCUAGAUUUUGGAGCAUGGCUGUUGGGAUUUGUGCUCAUUCAGCUGCAAUAGCAUUAGUGAGGUCAGGCACUGAUGUCGGUGAGGAGGCCUGGGGCACAGUUCCAGUUCAUCCUAAAGGUGUUCAGUGGGGUUGAGGUCAGGGCUCUGUGCAGGCCACUUGAGUUUUUCCACUUCAACCUUGACAAACCAUGUCUUCAUGGAGCUCACUUCGUGCACAAGGGCAAUGUCACACUGGAACAGAUUUAGGCUCCUUAGUUCCAGUGAAGGGAAAUUGUAAUGCUACAACAUACAUAGACAUUCUAGGCAAUUCUGUGCUUCUCAAAUUUGUGGCAAAAUUUGGAGAAGGCCCACAUGUGGUAUGAUGGUCGCGUGUUCACAUACAAUUGGUGCAUAUAUAAAUACAAUAACAGAGGAUGGAUAGCAUGCAAGAGCAAAAACAAAGGACAUAGGAACCAUAAGCAGGAGCAGGACACCAUGUAUGGGAAUGGGAUGGGAGUUCAGAUGCAAACAAAUUUUAGGCAAGGCGCUAAAUAAAAUUUAUAAUUUAAACAGAGUACAGUGCAAAAGUUUUUAUGCCCAUAGGAUUCUUUAUGAUAACAAAGUAACAAAAUGGUGUAAUAAUGUAAGUCAUGACAUGCACUAGUACAGAAAUCAAAGCAAUACCAUUUCAAAAGUUUGUAGCUCCCUUUCCUGAUGUGAUCUAAAUAUUUUCUAAUAACUUGUAUGUCUACAUUUUGGCUCUCCAACCUGUUUUGCAUUCUCCUUUGGAUCCUCUCAGACCUAUCUUGAUUUAACCUUCUGUUUUAGAUUGUAGUCUUGUUUCAGGAUACACCCAUAUUUCAUUUUUAACUUCCUGGAAAUUUUUUGUUAGGCAUAAAUUGUAAAAAAAAAAAAAGUACGUUCUGGGAGGUGUACACUUUUGCACUUAACUGUACAUUCCACAGCAAGGAGAAUCUACAGCAAAUAGCUGAAUAACAAUAAAUCUAAUGAAGGUUUAAGUUGCUUGCUUACUUAACACCCCCCCCUUCCCGAGAAAAUGAAAGAAAAAAAAAUACUGACUGACCUACAUGGUCUUAGAAUAGACAAUGUGUUCUCUGUAGCUUUAUUGGCAUAGAUAGAUAUACUGUGCUUGAUUGAUCCCGCGAGAGAAAUUGUUAAAAUUAAUAGUAGCAUAAUGGCAUAAUAUUAUAUCUUGUUUUAAGCUACAUAGAAUGACCAAAAGUAUUAGAACAACACAACAAAAGUAAUAACAGAACAUACUAAACAAGCCAGUGAGUACUACUGAACAUUUAAUGGGACUCUGAUAAGGUUCAGUGAGGUCAGAGUGAUGAGUUUAAGGUUAGGAUGGUCGUUAGACAUUCUCUUGGCAUGUCAGCACUCUUGAAUCACAUUCUGUGUUAUUGGCUGGCUUUUUGGACCUCUGUGUCCAGAACAAGGAGAGUCUCAGCUCUUAAAACUCAUCAUUGCAGCCAGUUCUCCAGAUAACUUCCUCCAACAGCUUGAUUUGUCCAUUAUAUUUAUAUGCCCUUGUCUUUUUGUAAUACAAACAUUAGAAGUUUAUAUUGUAAAUAAAGAUAAAAGAAUGGAAAUUGAAAGUUGGUACUGAACCUACUUCAGGUCAUAUAAUAAAAUUUGAUUGUUUCCUGUGAAUAAAACCUGAACUGACAUGGUACCCUUUUGAGAAGGUUAACAGUAAAGCUUUUUGUAGAGAAUAUGUCCUCUUUGGUAAUGUUCCCAUAACCACGGCAUAUAAACAGAAUCCUGCUGGAAACUGGGGGAAAUCCAGAGUGCUCACCUCACCUCCAGAAUUUGUCUACCGCCGCCACGGGCCAGAUGAGAGAAGUCUGUCUGAAACACUUUUCCGACACUGCACAUGCCUGGGUUUGGUCAGAUUAUCUCCUGUCUUUGCUGUCUAGACGACACAUUAUAGUCAGGUUCGGAGAGUAUUUUGUCUACGACGUUACACAGGAUAAAAAGAGAAUUACAGCAGACCAUAUUUCAACACUCAUCCUGCUCAGACUGAUAAAUGUCCAGCAGGUUCCCCCCCUCUCUAUGUGCUUAUCUGGGCAAAGUGACAAAAGAUAUCUCUGUUAGUCUGCUAUGAUUGUGUAUGAAACAAGAGAAUCUCCUAGAUUUUUGCAAGUAAGGGGUACAGUGAGAUCAGACAUGUCUUAUUUCAGGAAAAUGUUGCUGGCAUUUAAUAAAUCAUAAAAAUGUGUGUACGUGUCACCUUUCAUACUCGUGCAUAUUGUAUAUGUAUAAUACUGUACAUUCACAUGCAAGACUUUAAAUAUACAGUGUAACUUAUAAUUUAUGGUAAGAGUAUCAUAUAGGGCAGUGAUUCUGCCAACUGGAAUUACAAAUGAGUUUAGAGCAAGGAUUUGGUGUAUUUUUGUCAGAUAUGAGUAUGUAAAAAGUGCAGGAAUGGCAGAAUUGUAUUUGUAUGGGAGAGCCAGGGCGGUGUGGAUCCCCAUGGCUGUGCUGGAAGUAAGGAGUCAGGUUUUUUUUUAAACAGCACUCUGUGUCUAGUGCCAGAAGGGAAGCAAGGACUCACAUGUCAGCAGGGUCUCACGACUAUUUCUCUCUUUCUCCCCCAUGUCCAACAACAAGCUGUCCAGGAACCUGUGGUAAAUUAGCUGCUCCAAACCUAUGACCUGAAGACUAAUCCUCUUAAGACACUUGGCACACAGAAUGGAGCAGAAAUAUAAUUCUUUGGACAAUGUACCAAAUUCAUCCUCAGCAUGCUUUCCAAAACCAAAAACACGGCAGCUUAAGCUUAAACUUUCACAGCCUCUAAUGACAGAAGCACCAUUUUGUUGUGUUCUGUUAAGUAUUAGUCACAUUUAUUUUACUACCUUGUAGAAGAAAGAAGAAUGCUUGGCUCCACUGUUAUCCAGUGUAUUACACUAUGUAGAAUAAACCAUAAGAAUGUUUCAGUCAUAAAUAAAAGUAAUUUAGACUCAUAAAUGCACAAUAGUUGAAAGGGGGUUUAAGAGGCUGUAACAUUGGCCAUUUAUUACUUUUCCAGCAAAUACAUAAUCAGCAUGGCCACCUGUUCUGUGAAGCUUAGGAUUCAUACGUUUGAGUGCACUUUAUUAUGGCACGAUGAAACCAACAUGACAUUUAAUGCAAGCUAGGCUUUACCGGUCCCUGUAGGAUUUUGCGAUCACAGAAAUGAACACAAAAUCAUGCAAACUCCGCAAUAAUAUUUGGAGCCGCUUACAAAUUUUCAAAAUGACUCACAGCUUUUCCGCAGAUUCGGGCCAAGACGCAUCAUGUGACAUCAUCACAACGCGCAUUCAGCCGAAGUUCUCUUCGAUUCAUGCGCAUCGAACAUAGUACAGCUAAAAAGUUGCAUUUACCAACAAACUUCACUGUCACAAAAGACUGUGCGAAACAAUUUCGGGCAAUUCAAGUAGUAUUCCACAAAAAACAUACAAAAAUUUAAUCGCACAUUUUGAAGGAAGAAAAAAAAACGUAGUAAAAUCAACCAUUUUUGGCAGCAACAAUCACAAAAAAUGCUGCAAAAUCCUGUAUGGACUGCUUUACAGUGAGAAUACAAUGAGAAAAAAUAGUUUCACAAUUAAUUUAGAUAUUAAUUGUGAAAAAAAUAAAAUGGCAUUUCUGAAAGUGAUAUCAAUCUGGUCUUUUAUUAGACUAACUGGAUUUUUCCAAAUCUGUCUAGCCAUUUACAAUAAUAAUUCU